UUGUCCUUGUGUGUUCAUGCAUCUCA
This 26-nucleotide non-coding RNA is filed under the name Rattus norvegicus (Norway rat). Lineage: Eukaryota; Metazoa; Chordata; Mammalia; Rodentia; Muridae. The record is from RNAcentral.